CCUACGGGAGGCUGCAGUGGGGAAUAUUGGACAAUGGGGGCAACCCUGAUCCAGCCAUGCCGCGUGUGUGAAGAAGGCCCUCGGGUUGUAAAGCACUUUCAGUGAGGAAGAACGCCUGGUGGUUAAUACCCAUCAGGAAAGACAUCACUCACAGAAGAAGCGCCGGCUAACUCCGUGCCAGCAGCCGCGGUAAUACGGAGGGUGCGAGCGUUAAUCGGAAUUACUGGGCGUAAAGCGCGCGUAGGUGGCUUGAUAAGCCGGUUGUGAAAGCCCCGGGCUCAACCUGGGAACGGCAUCCGGAACUGUCAAGCUAGAGUGCAGGAGAGGAAGGUAGAAUUCCCGGUGUAGCGGUGAAAUGCGUAGAGAUCGGGAGGAAUACCAGUGGCGAAGGCGGCCUUCUGGACUGACACUGACACUGAGGUGCGAAAGCGUGGGUAGCAAACAGGAUUAGAUACCCUAGUAGUC
RNAcentral lists this ribosomal RNA (465 nucleotides) under Vreelandella stevensii. Its description in RNAcentral is "partial 16S ribosomal RNA". It matches the Rfam family "Bacterial small subunit ribosomal RNA", at positions 338 to 795 of the family's 1533-position model. Lineage: Bacteria; Pseudomonadati; Pseudomonadota; Gammaproteobacteria; Oceanospirillales; Halomonadaceae. The record is from RNAcentral.